Molecule: ribosomal RNA, 484 nt
Filed under: uncultured bacterium
Lineage: Bacteria
Description: partial 16S ribosomal RNA
Rfam family: Bacterial small subunit ribosomal RNA
Source: RNAcentral
AUUGAACGCUGGCGGAAUGCUUUACACAUGCAAGUCGAACGGCAGCACGGGGGCAGCCCUGGUGGCGAGUGGCGAACGGGUGAGUAAUACAUCGGAACGUGCCCGGUCGUGGGGGAUAACGUAGCGAAAGUUACGCUAAUACCGCAUACGAUCUGAGGAUGAAAGCGGGGGACCUUCGGGCCUCGCGCGAUCGGCGCGGCCGAUGUCAGAUUAGGUAGUUGGUGGGGUAAAGGCCUACCAAGCCGACGAUCUGUAGCUGGUCUGAGAGGACGACCAGCCACACUGGGACUGGGACACGGCCCAGACUCCUACGGGAGGCAGCAGUGGGGAAUUUUGGACAAUGGGCGCAAGCCUGAUCCAGCCAUUCCGCGUGCAGGACGAAGGCCUUCGGGUUGUAAACUGCUUUUGUACGGAACGAAAAGGCUCUGGCUAAUACCUGGGGCUCAUGACGGUACCGUAAGAAUAAGCACCGGCUAACUACGUG